GAUGGUGUAGCUCAGCGGUUAGAGCGGUUGACUGUUAAUCAACGGGUCGAUAGUUCAAAUCCAUCCACCAUCGCCA
Molecule: transfer RNA, 76 nt
Filed under: Escherichia coli
Lineage: Bacteria; Pseudomonadati; Pseudomonadota; Gammaproteobacteria; Enterobacterales; Enterobacteriaceae
Description: tRNA-Asn
Rfam family: tRNA
About the family: Transfer RNA (tRNA) molecules are approximately 80 nucleotides in length.
Source: RNAcentral